GUGUUUGCUUCGGCAGCACGUGUACUAAAAUUAGAAUGAUACAGACAAGACAAGCAUGGCCCCUGCGCAAGGAUGACAUGCAAAUUUGUGACGUGUUCCAUAUUUUU
Artibeus jamaicensis (Jamaican fruit-eating bat) is the source of this 107-nucleotide small nuclear RNA. NCBI's taxonomy places the organism in Eukaryota, Metazoa, Chordata, Mammalia, Chiroptera, Phyllostomidae. The record is from RefSeq and is a predicted model, not a curated record.